AAAAAACAAGAAUGUGUCCUCAGUACACGAAUGCCCCACUCGCACUAUCAUUUUCCAUGUUCAGUGGACCGUGAAAUUGGGGUAAAAACUCUAAUUUGGCAUUAAAAUUAGAAAGAUCAUAUCAUAGGGAACAUGUGUACUAAGUUUGAAGUCGAUUGGACUUCAACUUCAUCAAAAACUACCUUGACCAAAAACUUUAACCUGAAGCGGGACAGACGGACGAACGGACGGACGGACGGACGGACGAACGGACGCACAGACCAGAAAACAUAAUGCCCCUCUACUAUCGUAGGUGGGGCAUAAAAA
RNAcentral lists this long non-coding RNA (306 nucleotides) under Mytilus galloprovincialis (Mediterranean mussel). The record is from RNAcentral. Lineage: Eukaryota; Metazoa; Mollusca; Bivalvia; Mytilida; Mytilidae.